CCCCAGCGCCACGAGUGGCAACCACAUUUAUUGGGCCUAAAGCGUUCGUAGUGGGUUUUGUAAAUCUCUUGUGAAAUCGUUGCGCUUAACGUAACGGCGUGCAGGAGACUACUGCAAAACUAGAGACCGGGAGGAGUCAGAGGAAUUCCGGGGGAAGCGGUAAAAUGCAAUAAUCCUCGGAAGACCACCUGUGGCGGAGGCGUCUGACUAGAACGGAUCUGACCAUGAGGAACGAAAGCCAGGGG
Molecule: ribosomal RNA, 245 nt
Filed under: uncultured archaeon
Lineage: Archaea
Description: partial 16S ribosomal RNA
Rfam family: Archaeal small subunit ribosomal RNA
Source: RNAcentral